CAAGAUGCUAAUACCGGAUAACAACAGAUGAUGCCUAUCAACUGUUUUAAAAAGAUGGUUCUGUUAUCACUCUUGGAUGGACCUGCGGUGCAUUAGCUAGUUGGUAGGGUAACGGCCUACCAAGGCGAUGAUGCAUAGCCGAGUUGAGAGACUGAUCGGCCACAUUGGGACUGAGACACGGCCCAAACUCCUACGGGAGGCAGCAGGG
Molecule: ribosomal RNA, 208 nt
Filed under: uncultured Lactobacillus sp.
Lineage: Bacteria; Bacillati; Bacillota; Bacilli; Lactobacillales; Lactobacillaceae
Description: partial 16S ribosomal RNA
Rfam family: Bacterial small subunit ribosomal RNA
Source: RNAcentral